Molecule: ribosomal RNA, 694 nt
Filed under: uncultured bacterium
Lineage: Bacteria
Description: bacterial SSU rRNA
Rfam family: Bacterial small subunit ribosomal RNA
Source: RNAcentral
AACGCUAGCUACAGGCUUAACACAUGCAAGUCGCGGGGUAACGAGAGGGAAGCUUGCUUUCCUUGUCGACGACCGGCGCACGGGUGAGUAACGCGUAUCCAACCUGCCCAUUACCACGGGAUACCCCGUCGAAAGGCGGCCUAAUACCGUAUGCAGUCGUCAGAUGACAUCAGAGGACGACGAAAGGAUUGGCGGUAAUGGAUGGGGAUGCGUCUGAUUAGGUAGUUGGAGGGGUAACGGCCCACCAAGCCAUCGAUCAGUAGGGGUUCUGAGAGGAAGGUCCCCCACAUUGGAACUGAGACACGGUCCAAACUCCUACGGGAGGCAGCAGUGAGGAAUAUUGGUCAAUGGGCGAGAGCCUGAACCAGCCAAGUAGCGUGCAGGAUGACGGCCCUAUGGGUUGUAAACUGCUUUUAUACAGGAAUAAAGUUAGCCACGUGUGGUUAUUUGUAGGUACUGUAUGAAUAAGGACCGGCUAAUUCCGUGCCAGCAGCCGCGGUAAUACGGAAGGUCCAGGCGUUAUCCGGAUUUAUUGGGUUUAAAGGGAGCGUAGGCCGUCUGUUAAGCGUGUUGUGAAAUGUAGAUGCUCAACAUCUGAAUUGCAGCGCGAACUGGCAGACUUGAGUGUGCGCAACGUAGGCGGAAUUCGUGGUGUAGCGGUGAAAUGCUUAGAUAUCACGAAGAACUCCGAUUG